GUUAGUUUAUUCAAAAGCUACUUGAUUCUUUUUAGACCAAUCCAAAAUAACACCCUUCUGUAUUCCAAAUUAGACAAAGGAUGGGAUACUUGGGCAAAAUGGAAAUCUUCCAAUAUUCCAGGUGCUCCAGUAUACCUAUGGCUCCUUUAAAUUUACAGGCACAGGAUACUGCAGGAAUUUAAAAAAAUAACUUGUUCAGGUAUCAUGCAUGUCUAACAGAACCAUAAUAUUCCCAAGAAUUUUAUACCUGUGUCUGUCCCUUGUACCUUGUAUGGAUUCAUCUUUUACUCUUGUUUUAGGUACAUGAAACAUUUUAGAUUUUAUUUAAUCUGAAAAAAACUCAGAGAUUAGCAUCUAUUUUUUUAAAAUAGAGAGUUGUUACCAGGACACAGCAAGGACCCAGGAAAACAUCCCAUGGCAAAGAAUUUAACUGUGAAGGUAACCUUGGGGACUGUAACUGUCUGCUGUUGACCUUUCCAGCUGUAAGAAUUGGGCAAGGUCAUCCAGCAGCUGGUGGAAGUUGAAGCAGACACCCACAUCUAAACUUUGAACUGAACUGGAAUCCAGUUGCAGAGAGGAAGGACUGAUGAGCAAAGGAGUUCAAACCAGGAUGGUGAAACCCACAGAAACUGCUGACAUGAACAAAGGAAAGCACUUGCUCCCCAGACUGAUAGCUGGGAAACCAACAUGGGACUGAUCCAGACCCCAUGAAUGUGAGUGUCAGUGAAGAGACCUUGGAAAUCUAUGGGACCUCUUGUAGUGGAUCAGUACUUAUCCCUAGCAUAAGAAUGGACUUUGGGAGCCCAUCCCACAAGGACGGAUACUCCCUGAGCCUCCCUGAGACACAAGGGGGUUGGCCUUGGCCCUAUCCCAAAGAGUAAGUCAGACUUUGAAGACCACCCCCACGGAAGGCCUCACCCUCCCUUGGGAGUAGAAAGGGUAUGGAAUAGGUAGGGUGUUAGUUGGGGG
RNAcentral lists this long non-coding RNA (969 nucleotides) under Cricetulus griseus (Chinese hamster). RNAcentral describes it as "lncRNA (ENSCGRG00015040439.1)". The record is from RNAcentral. Lineage: Eukaryota; Metazoa; Chordata; Mammalia; Rodentia; Cricetidae.